RNAcentral lists this long non-coding RNA (291 nucleotides) under Solanum lycopersicum (tomato). RNAcentral describes it as "partial TCONS_00189872". Lineage: Eukaryota; Viridiplantae; Streptophyta; Magnoliopsida; Solanales; Solanaceae. The record is from RNAcentral.
UGCAUUCCUUGUCUGCAGGGUUUGUCUUGCAGUAGUCCUCUAAGGCGUCUCCGCUCCCUUCUGCAGCUGAACCGGGCCAUUUGUCUGCUACCAGAUGAGCUAAGUCGACCACACGUUGGCUGCAAUUUUACCAAGUAUGAUCACAAGUGAAUCAACGGUUACCUGUAUCCCCACUCGUUGUCAUACCAAGCGACAAUCUUGACCAUGUCGUCUCCCAUAACCAUGGUUAAAGAGGAGUCGAUGGUGGUGGAAACAUCACUGCAUCGGAAGUCAACUGACACAAGAGGCUCA